CUGCCACUCGACACCCACUGGUUAUUCCAAUGUGAGCUAGCUAGCUGCGUCCUGUGUUGCUGCUUAGUUUGGCCACACCGACUUGUGCGUCUAUUUUGAUCUUCUGAGCUCGCUAUCAGGACCCUGGCCACAGUGGAACAUGGAUCUGAAGGCUUGACUCACUUUGGUUUCCACACUGGAUUCUACAUUGAGGAUUUGUGUUUGAUACCAAAGUCUAGAUUGGACGGUUACACUCAGCAUGAAAGACCCAUCACCAAGGAAGUUUACAUAUCCCACCACUUCCCUAAUGUCAACCUGAGUUGGACAAAAACCAAAGGAUCGACAGAGCUGCAGGAGCUGUGGAGGACAGGUUAUGCACGAGACC
This 364-nucleotide long non-coding RNA is filed under the name Cottoperca gobio. RNAcentral's name for it is "lncRNA (ENSCGOG00000017663.1)". The record is from RNAcentral. Lineage: Eukaryota; Metazoa; Chordata; Actinopteri; Perciformes; Bovichtidae.